UCUCAGGUGGCUCAAUGGUAAAGAACAUGCCUGCAAUGCAGGAGAUACAGGUUCAACUCCUGGGUUGGGAA
This 71-nucleotide transfer RNA is filed under the name Bos taurus (domestic cattle). It matches the Rfam family "tRNA". From Rfam's summary of the family: Transfer RNA (tRNA) molecules are approximately 80 nucleotides in length. Their secondary structure includes four short double-helical elements and three loops (D, anti-codon, and T loops). The record is from Rfam by way of RNAcentral. Lineage: Eukaryota; Metazoa; Chordata; Mammalia; Artiodactyla; Bovidae.